GACGAACGCUGGCGGCGUGCUUAACACAUGCAAGUCGAACGGAAAGGCCCUUCGGGGUACUCGAGUGGCGAACGGGUGAGUAACACGUGGGUGAUCUGCCCUGCACUUUGGGAUAAGCCUGGGAAACUGGGUCUAAUACCGAAUAGGACCACGCGCUUCAUGGUGUGUGGUGGAAAGCUUUUGCGGUGUGGGAUGGGCCCGCGGCCUAUCAGCUUGUUGGUGGGGUAAUGGCCUACCAAGGCGACGACGGGUAGCCGGCCUGAGAGGGUGACCGGCCACACUGGGACUGAGAUACGGCCCAGACUCCUACGGGAGGCAGCAGUGGGGAAUAUUGCACAAUAGGCGCAAGCCUGAUGCAGCGACGCCGCGUGAGGGAUGACGGCCUUCGGGUUGUAAACCUCUUUCAAUAGGGACGAAGCGCAAGUGACGGUACCUAUAGAAGAAGCACCGGCCAACUACGUG
Molecule: ribosomal RNA, 462 nt
Filed under: uncultured bacterium
Lineage: Bacteria
Description: partial 16S ribosomal RNA
Rfam family: Bacterial small subunit ribosomal RNA
Source: RNAcentral